CAUGCGAGUGCAUUCCACCAAGUGCACCCGAGAACCACCACAGAAAAGGAAAGUGACGUGUAAAGCAGGCGCCCAUGGCCUAUGUGGACGUGCUCCAGCUGCUCCAGCUCGCCUACCACGGAAGCAAAGAUGAGCGGACGCGGGCGACGACGGAGUUGGAGGCGUCAAUGCAGUCUCCAGAGACGGGGCCCACCUGCCUCCUCACACUGCUGCGCACCGGUGUUGAGCCCUCGUUGCCUGCAGAGCAGAGCCUUUCCGCGCUGCUGUUUGCCAAGAACGCCAUGCUCCACCUCAUCGGAGACGACGUCGUGACCAACACGCCCGGCUUUUUGGCAGAGAUGGAGUCGCUGCUGUUCGCUGGCAUGUUCCGCGUGUCGGAGAGGCACCGCCGCGUUCUGCGAGCGUGCAUCAUGAAUGUGACGAGCGGAUUUGAGUGGAACUAUCUUGGGGAGCUGAUGCCUUUUAUUGACCGUGACCUGAACGCCGUCGGCGUGGAUGAGUCCCUGGGGGCGCUGGAGCUCCUUUACGCGUACGCAAAGCGCUUCAAGACACCAGGGCUCGAGCCUACGCCGCUGAAGCUGCAGGUGUGUGCGGUGCUGGUGCGCAAGCUGCCGGAGUACGUUGGGUACGACGACAUGCGUGUGUACCGUUUGGUCUUCAAGCUGAGCGAGUGUAUUGUGGAGAGUGGGCUGCAGCUGACGAGCUCAAAGGAGAUGAGCGGCGACGCGUUGGAUGGACUCUUUCAGCUCAUGCUGGCCUUUCCUCAGCAGCACUACGAGGCCGCGCUGGCCGCAGGCGGCACGGUGUACGGAGAGUACGUCAAGUGUCUCAAACGCAUUUCCAUGGUCUCGUACUCCAUCAUCAACGACGCGACGCGACGCAAAAAGCCGGCCCCGGUGGCGAAGCGUUUCUUGCAGGCCCACAGCGCCGCCUUCCUCUCCACGUGGAGGCAGUGGCUGCAACUGUGUGUGUCGUCGACGGAUCGGCGCACGCAUCAAAAGUCGGAGAUGUUUGCGCUGCGCUACGUGAAGCUGUGCACUUUGGAUGAGACUCUCUACACGCAGCACCUGCGUCCGCACGCGAUGGAGCUGGUCGAGCAGCUGCUUUUCCCGUAUAUGUGCUUCAAUGAGGUCGACGAGGAGGUCUUCGCCGAUGAAGGCGACCUGGCCGACUACGUCAAAUAUAUGGUGGAUGAGAGCUUAGGCAACGCUGAGUUGUCGACGCGCCAGGCCGCCUCCAAUACGAUUUUGGCGCUUCUGAGUAGCAAGAAGAAGUUUCACGAUCCUGCGCCGCUGCUGCAGGCGCUGCUCGGCAUUCUCACGGCCGGCUUCGAGUCCGCGGACCUCACGACGGAGGCCGGCAAGGCGCGCCUGUUUGGCUUCCUGCACCUGCUCUCCAUCCUGCGCAAGUUUCUAAAGGAGGUGCCCGCGAUUUGGGAGGGGCAAAUGGCGCAGGUGCUCGUACGCUACGUCGCCCCGUUCCUGCAGCCGUCGACUCCGUGUGUUGGCGUUCGCUGCAAGGCCAUCGUCGUGUGUCAACGCUACAGCAAGGUGCUCAUGCCAUCAGAGGCAGACUUCGCCUCCUUUAUUCAGAUGAUGUGUGGCCUCAUUCAGGACGCCGACAUGCGAGUGCGGCUGGCCGGCAUUGAUGCCAUGUGCACGUUGCUGGAGCUGAAGCGCGCGCGGCAGUACCUGAAGCCGAUCGUUGUCCCGCUCGUUGAGGAAUGUCUCGCGUUUCUCGGCAAGGUGCAGACCACCUUUGUGCCGCUGGUGAUCCUGCACCUGACCACGCAGUUUGCGCCGGAGAUGACGCCGGUAAUGGGAAAGCUGGCCCACACCCUCGUCCAACAUUUUUUGGCGACCAUGCAUGACAUGGAGCUGCAGGAGGCAGACGGGAACGGCGGCCUGGGCGACGACGAGAUGGGUGUGAGCGUGUACGAGCAGGCCGCGUUCAGCGCGGAUGCGCUGCUGGACGCGGUCCUCACCGUUGUCACGAGCUGCGGAGAAAAUGACGCAGCGUUCACGAGCGUGCGCGUUGACGCGCUGCGUCUGGUGAAGCAUGUACUGCAGCAGCCUGACAGCUUCGACAUGAUGGAGAAGACGCUGUCGAUCUUGCUGCACGUUCUCUACUUCUCCAAGCCGAUCCCACCGGAGUGCUGGGAGCUGUUGCCUCUCAUCUACGCACUGGUGGAUUCCGGCAUCGGCGUCGACUUCUUUAACUCGAUUGAGGAAGUGCUGGACAACUUCGUCUCUGGUGCCCCGGCCGAGUUCCUCGGCGACACAGCUUUGAUGACCGCCACCUACAAAACGUGCGAGAAGAUGCUGAUUGGGGGCGUGGUGUGCGUAGCGGAGUGCCAGAUGGCACCGGCGCAGCUCAUCGAAGCCAUGCUUCACACGGCCAAGGCAGACACGGAGCACCCCGGGCUGUUCGACCCGUACCUUUCGCAGUUUGUGGGACUGCUCCUGAAGUCCUUGCUUCACCCCGACAUUCAGGGCGGUGACGUGCGUGUGCGCAUCUGGGUCAUCGCGGCGCUGCUGGACUGCUUCUACUACGACGCCGCAGCCACCUUUAACGUUAUUGUGCAGGUCAACGCCUACCCCAGCUUCUUCGAUGGUCUCCUGUUCCUCUUCCGAGGUUGCAUCGAUGAUGGCGCCUCUUUCUCCGCGUCUGGGGCUAGCAGUGCCGGCCGUCGCAAAAAGAAGGUGAAGAAGGACGACGCAGGGGAGGUAGUCGAGAACCUGUCGCUGCUGACGCGAAAGGUGACCAUCCUUGGCCUGUCCUCGCUGCUCGCAUACGCCACCGACCCGCACCUCGCGACGCCGCCGCCGCCGCGGGCAGACUUCGCUUCUCGUUAUUUGGAUCCUCUGACGCGCCUUGUUCAGUACUGCAUUUUCACCAACGAAGCAACCUACGCACCCCGAUGUGCGACGUCGGAGGCAAAUCUGGAGAAGAUUAGGCUUGGCGUCGAGGAAGACAUCGAGGACUGUGAGAUCAGCGACGAGGCAGUGCUAGGCGUGGACGGCGGCGAUGACACUAUGGAGGCCUGCGAGGACGCGUUGGAGGACAUGGACGACGAUCUAGCAGCCGCGCAGGCGGGCGUCGAGCUGGACGAGGGUGACGACUAUGAGAGCCCAAUUGAUGACAUCAACGAGGUCGAGUUUUUUCUCAACUGGGUGCGCAUGCUGCCACAGCUCAGCCCAGCCGCUCAAGCCGCGGCGCAUGCCGUGCUCCGCCCGGAAAGCGACUACUUGCGUGCCUCCCACACCGCUGGUCGCUAUCGGCAGCUGUGCAAGGAGCUGGAGGCAGCCAUGAAGGAAGACUUCCGGAAGCGUGCGGAGCUGACCGCAUAGUCCAUGGAGGGGGAAGCGCAGUGACGAGUGGCACCGGCAGGGUGACGGCGAAUCUGUUAACAUCGAAUAAUAAGGAAGAAGAGGAGGUAAGAAGACGUGAACGCAUCCGCGUGGUGCCCGCUGCUCUCCGCCCUCCGUGAAACCUUCUCCGAUGUGUCUGAGUCUGCAUAUGUACUUGUGCACACGGUGCGUAAACACAAGGCCGAUAACCGCUUUUCGGAAACAAGCUAUCUCCUCCGCAGACACACCGUCGUUUGUUUUGCUUGUGUGAUGAACACAUGCACCCCACCCACUCUCCUCCACUCGAAAUAGCUGUCGGAGUGCGGAAACGUCAAGUGGAUUGUGUCGUCAGGGCCCCGAUCGCCUGUCUUGCAAGCUGUAAAGCGAAACGAAAAAAAA
Molecule: unclassified non-coding RNA, 3749 nt
Filed under: Leishmania donovani
Lineage: Eukaryota; Euglenozoa; Kinetoplastea; Trypanosomatida; Trypanosomatidae
Description: gene:LdHU3.29.3100(CDS-product:hypothetical_prote in_conserved)
Source: RNAcentral